RNAcentral lists this ribosomal RNA (253 nucleotides) under uncultured bacterium. Its description in RNAcentral is "partial 16S ribosomal RNA". It matches the Rfam family "Bacterial small subunit ribosomal RNA", at positions 524 to 776 of the family's 1533-position model. The record is from RNAcentral.
UACGGAGGGGGCUAGCGUUGUUCGGAAUUACUGGGCGUAAAGCGCGCGUAGGCGGCUUUGCAAGUUGGAGGUGAAAGCCCGGAGCUCAACUCCGGAACUGCCUUUAAGACUGCAUCGCUAGAAUUGUGGAGAGGUGAGUGGAAUUCCGAGUGUAGAGGUGAAAUUCGUAGAUAUUCGGAAGAACACCAGUGGCGAAGGCGACUCACUGGACACAUAUUGACGCUGAGGUGCGAAAGCGUGGGGAGCAAACAGG